RNAcentral lists this unclassified non-coding RNA (323 nucleotides) under soil metagenome. Its description in RNAcentral is "partial contains 5.8S ribosomal RNA, internal transcribed spacer 2, and large subunit ribosomal RNA". The stretch from base 1 to 120 matches the Rfam family "5.8S ribosomal RNA", at positions 35 to 154 of the family's 154-position model. The record is from RNAcentral.
GAUGAAGAACGCAGCGAAAUGCGAUAAGUAAUGCGAAUUGCAGAAUUCAGUGUGUCAUCGAAUCUUUGAACGCACAUUGCGCCCUGUGGUAUUCCGCAGGGCAUGCCUGUUCGAGCGUCAUUUCAACCCUCAAGCUCUGCUUGGUGUUGGGCCCUGCCCGCUGCGGCCGGCCCUAAAGACAGUGGCGGUGCCGCCUGGCCCUGAGCGUAGUACAUCUCUCGCUCCAGUGCCCGGUGGUAGCCUGCCAGAACCCCAACUCUCGUGGUUGACCUCGGAUCAGGUAGGGAUACCCGCUGAACUUAAGCAUAUCAAUAAGCGGAGGA